This 439-nucleotide ribosomal RNA is filed under the name uncultured Paracoccus sp. RNAcentral describes it as "bacterial SSU rRNA". It matches the Rfam family "Bacterial small subunit ribosomal RNA", at positions 920 to 1382 of the family's 1533-position model. Lineage: Bacteria; Pseudomonadati; Pseudomonadota; Alphaproteobacteria; Rhodobacterales; Paracoccaceae. The record is from RNAcentral.
CCCGCACAAGCGGUGAGCAUGUGGUUUAAUUCGAAGCAACGCGCAGAACCUUACCAACCCUUGACAUGGCAGGACCGCUGGAGAGAUUCAGCUUUCUCGUAAGAGGACCUGCACACAGGUGCUGCAUGGCUGUCGUCAGCUCGUGUCGUGAGAUGUUCGGUUAAGUCCGGCAACGAGCGCAACCCACGUCCCUAGUUGCCAGCAUUCAGUUGGGCACUCUAUGGAAACUGCCGGUGAUAAGCCGGAGGAAGGUGUGGAUGACGUCAAGUCCUCAUGGCCCUUACGGGUUGGGCUACACACGUGCUACAAUGGUGGUGACAGUGGGUUAAUCCCCAAAAGCCAUCUCAGUUCGGAUUGUCCUCUGCAACUCGAGGGCAUGAAGUUGGAAUCGCUAGUAAUCGCGGAACAGCAUGCCGCGGUGAAUACGUUCCCGGGCCUU